RNAcentral lists this long non-coding RNA (884 nucleotides) under Homo sapiens (human). Its description in RNAcentral is "HSALNT0074761". Lineage: Eukaryota; Metazoa; Chordata; Mammalia; Primates; Hominidae. The record is from RNAcentral.
AUUCAAUAUGAAGCUAGAAUUAAUUAUAGGAAUAGAUUAUGCUGGAGCCCAGCCAUCUUGAGAUGAACCAUACGACCCUUUACAGGACUCUUCUGGUCAUAGCUCCGCAGUGCCACACGAUGGCAGCAUUUCUGAAAAAAGAUUUCAGACCACAAUCUGGUUCUACCAAUUUUCUUAAUUCCAGCGGGAUAGAACACUCCUGUAUUUAAUGACAGGACUAUAUACAGCUGUGGAGCUCUCCAUUUCUUGGAAUGCCAGUCAGGACACGGCAAGAAGAUGGCCAUCUGUGAACCAGAAAGAGAGCCCUCAGCAGAACUCAACCAUGCUGGCACCCGGAUCCUGGACUUCCCAGCCUCCAGACUGUGAGAAAUAAGUCUCUGUUGUUCAUGCCACCCUGUCUAUGGGAUUGUGUUACAGCAGCCCAAACGGACUAAGAUGAUGGCACUGAUGUCGAGUCUGUGUGCAGCAUACCCAUAUUGUCCUGUGUUACAGAUUAUAUUUUCCAAAGAUGGCUGCAACAAUAUCUUGCAGCAUCCCACGUGUGCUCUCCUUACAGGGUAACGCUGCCAUCCCUCCCAUUAAAGGGGACUCGAAGUCCACUCUCCUCGAAGACGGAGGGCCUCUGUGACUUCCUUGACCAAGAGAGUUGGUUGAAAGUGAUGCUAUGUGAUUUAUGAGGUCAUAAAAAUACAUAUUUCUAUCAUGUUUUCUUGGCACAUAUGUUUUCAAAAAAGUCAGCCGCCAUAUAAACAGUCCAUCUUCCCUGAGGUGCCGUACUGUAAGGAAGCCCAAGCUAGCCCAUGCAGAGAGACCACAUGCAGAAACUCUGAAACCAAAUGGACAGAGUGGGGGUGGUGGUGCCUGGUUAUCACCCAGGCGCCCAG